GCGCUUGCAUCGGUAGCACAUAUACUAAAAGUGGAGUGAUACAGAGAAGACUAGCAUGGCCUCUGCGCAAGGAGGACACGUAGAUGCACAUAUAUAAAGUUACC
This is a small nuclear RNA of Equus caballus (horse), 104 nucleotides long. The record is from Ensembl. Lineage: Eukaryota; Metazoa; Chordata; Mammalia; Perissodactyla; Equidae.